UGGGAUUUCAUGUUGCACGAUUUUCUUUUUCUUGGAGCUAGGGUCAAAGGCUACAUCAUCCAUUUUCCUUUUGCCAUUUUUAUUCUGCCCACACACCAAAACCUAUUUCUGGAGACUCGAAUGGCAAGGGGCUCGUCGGGCCUACUCUUCGAGUCGGACAACAUUGUUAUCGAUCGGGUAAUACAACGUGUGGGAGUCUGUC
RNAcentral lists this long non-coding RNA (202 nucleotides) under Olea europaea (common olive). Its description in RNAcentral is "long non-coding RNA (OEUR_LNC008383)". The record is from RNAcentral. Lineage: Eukaryota; Viridiplantae; Streptophyta; Magnoliopsida; Lamiales; Oleaceae.